Pangasianodon hypophthalmus (striped catfish) is the source of this 4900-nucleotide long non-coding RNA. RefSeq lists it as uncharacterized. The record is from RefSeq and is a predicted model, not a curated record. The transcript has 2 exons. NCBI's taxonomy places the organism in Eukaryota, Metazoa, Chordata, Actinopteri, Siluriformes, Pangasiidae.
UCCACACCCCUGGAGGAGGAGGUUACGGUACAGAGGAGGAGGAGGAGAAGCAGCAGCUCAUCCUCUAAGCGGCGCUGUUUAACCCGAGUGUUCGCCGAGAGAGGGAGUGUGUACGAGUAUCGCCGCCGAGCUCAGGAGAGCGUCUGACCACCGUGCUCCUAAAAAUCAACUCUCCUUCCUCUGUUUAUCUCUCAACGCCGUUCCAGAUAUGUGUCUGUCUCACACACAUUAACAACACACACACACACAAGCAGAACAGUCAGUGUGAAGACCAGUUCAGUCGGAAUUUCCGACAAGGAAAAACCCUGAGAAAACGCCUCCUCAACUCAGAACGGUCUCCUGAACCCCCCGAGUCCAGCAAGUGACGUCAAAUCAAAAUGGCCGCUCACAGCAUCAACAGUAAAUAAAGUAGCACUUCUUACCUUUAAAUAAGUUAUACUGUAUAUACACAUAUUCACUUUAGAUUCAAUCAACAUACACACACAUUCACUCAUUAAAUCUAUAACACUGACUCUACAGCUCACUGUCCUGAGGAAAAUAUAUAAAUAUAAAUAUAGAAAUAUCACUCAUCACCGCUAGCUGCUUAGCUCGCUUCUGACAUCAGACAAACCUGGAGGCGGCCACGUUUUGUUCCCCACUUUAUAGCUUGAACAAACAGAGGUCGAAAAUUACGUCAUUCCGAGUUUGCGACUUCCUGAUUGCGAGGUAAGUGAAAUGCAGCGUAAGUUCUGUUCGUCUCGGAGAUUGGGCGACAUCAUCACUACCUGAUCUGCAUCUCCUGCCUGAUUUGCACCUCACACACACGGAUUAGGUGACCACAGCGCCGCCCGCAGUGCCGGAGCACUCGCACGCAACGAGGAAGCGAUUAAAUGUAACCGUAAAUGGAUAAAAAGAAAUGUGUCCACUGUACGGCUCACUCCAGUGUAAACCAGUGCGAUUCUGUUACUCAGUCAUUUUAAAACAUUAUUAAAAUGAUAAAAUGAAGACGGCCUCACUGUGUCUUUUUUUUUUUUUUUUUAAUAAUAAUAAUGAAAGUGUUCGUCUUUGCUUUUAAUAGCUAAACUUUUUAAGAAAUUAUAUUUAAUAUAUGAAAAACUCAAAUAAAUAUGAAGCGGUCGUCAAGGUGUUUAACAGGCGAUAAUUUAAGACUAAAGUUAACUAAAAAAUGUAAAUGAAUACGUAAAUAAAAAUAAAUAUAAAAAAACUACAUUAAAUAGUUUAAUCUUAAAAAGUUAAACACUAAUAAAUACAUAUAAAGUGGUUUUGAUAUGUAAACACCGAUAUCUAAAAAAGAUCAAUCAUUUUUAAAUUAAUAAAGAAAUGUAAAGUGGAUGUCACUGUUUUAAAUAAAAAUGAAUUUUUUAAAAUCUGUUUUUAAUUGGUAGAAAUCAUUUUUAAAAAUCUUUAAAAAUGAAAAAUAAAUAAAUUUGGUCAUCACUGCUUAUUCUGGAUACAAAAAAAUGAAAAUAAAACGCACAAUAUAUAAAAUCUAAAGUAUUAUUAAAUUAUACCACUGAAGCCAUUAAUGAAUUAAAGAACCUAAAUGUAAAUGUUUCUGUCAUGUUGUGUCUCUGUGCGUUGUGUUUAAAGGUGUAUUUCUGCAUUAGUCUGGGAUCAGGGCAGUGACUAAAGCCAGAGCGCUGAAGCAUCACGGAUUCCCGAGUGUGAUAAGAGCAGCAGGGAGUCGAGCUAACGCUCAGCAUCAGCACAGAGAAACGCCGUGCGAAUAAAUUACGAGUCUGAGAGCAGCACGUUGCUUCGAGAUGAGCAGCUACAGUGACAGAGUGAAGAUCAUGAUGCCGGAGUAUCGUAUCGUAUCGUUAUCGUCCUGCUUGAACAUGCAGCCCUUUUACGGCGACGUGCUGCAAGUGGAGAUGAGGUUUAUCUCUGUAAAGAAGAGCAGGGCCGGGAGGAAAGAGGACGGAGGGGUGUAAAACAGAGAGACAGGAGAGAGAGACACAGCAGGAGGUCGAGUGAGACACAGCAGAAGGAAGACAGCUCACAGAUCAAAGACUCCAAACCAUAUCAGCGUUUUCAGAGAUUAAAGUGAUACACUACUAGAUAUCAGCUUCCUAUUAGACGAAGAGUGCACUAUAUAGGGUUUAGGGGCUGUUAUUAGUUCCCUUUUAGACAUACAGUGCACUAUAUAGAGCAUAGGCUUUGUUACUGGCUGCUUAUUAGACAUUUGUAUUACACAUUAUGGUCAGUAAUUGCUCGGUAUAAGACAGAUAGUGCACUAGAUCGGGUGAAGACACCACUGAUGGCAGACUAUUUGAUAAAUAGUACACUAAGUAGGAUGUAUAGAACACUACUAUCAGACAUAUAGUGCACUAGUUACAGUGUAGAAUUCAUUAAGGGCUCAAUAUGAGUGUCAUAGUACACUAGGCAGGGUGCAAAGGCUAUUACUAUAAGGUAAAUAUCACACUAGUUAAAUUGUAGAGCCGCUUAUUUGCUCAGUAUGACAUAUAUUGGACAUACAGUAUAGUGCACUAUGUGUAGAGGCCAUUAUUUGUGGCCUAUUGGAUAAAUAGUGCACUAGAUAGUAUGUAGAGGCCAUUACUGGUGGCCUAUUGGACAUAAAGUUCACUAGGUAGGGUGUAGAGGCCAUUACUAGUGGUCUAUAGGACAUAAAGUUCACUAGGUAGGGUGUAGAGGCCAUUACUAGUCGUCUAUAGGACAUAUAGUGCACUAGAUAGGGUGCAGAUGCCAGUAAUGGUGGCCUAUUGGACAUAUAGUGCACUAGAUAGUGUGCAGUGGCCAUUACUAGUGGCCUAUUGGACAUAUGGUGCACUAGAUAGGGUGCAGAUGCCAGUAUUGGUGGCCUAUUGGACAUAUAGUGCACUAGAUAGUGUGCAGUGGCCAUUACUAGUGGUCUAUUGGACAUAUAGGGCACUAGAUAGUGUGCAGUGGCCAUUACUAGUGGCCUAUUGGACAUAUAGUGCACUAGAUAGUGUGCAGUGGCCAUUACUAGUGGCCUAUUGGACAUAUAGUGCACUAGAUAGGGUGCAGAUGACAUUACUAGUGGCUUAUUGGACAUAUGGUGCACUAGGUAGGGUGCAUAUGCCAGUAAUGGUGGCCUAUUGGACAUACAGUAUAGUGCACUAGAUAGGGUGCAGAUGCCAAUACUGUACUGUAUUUGAUAAAUAGUACACUAAGUAGGAUGUUACUGUCAGACAUAGUGCACUAGUUACAGUGUAGAAUUCAUUAAGGGCUCAAUAGGAGUGUCAUCGUACACUAGGUAGGGUGAAAAGACCAUUACUAUCGGGUAAAUAGCACACUAGUUAAACUGUAGAGCCAAUUAAUUGCUCAGUAUGACAUAUAUUGGACAUACAGUAUAGUGCACAAUGUGUAGAGGCCAUUAUUUGUGGUCUGUUGGAUAAAUAGUGCACUAGAUAGGGAAUAGGGGCCAUUAAUUAUGGCCUAUUGGAUAUAUAGUGCACGAGAUAGUAUGUAGAGGCCAUUACUGGUGACCUAUAGGACAUACACAGAUCAGCCAUAACAUUAAAACCACCUGCCUAAUAUUGUAUAGAUCCCCCUUGUGCCACCAAAACAGCUCUGACCCACCGAGGCAUGGACUCCACAAGACCUCUGAAGAUGUGCUGUGGUAUCUGGCACCAAGAGGUUGGAAGCAGAUCCUCCAUGGAUCAGACUUUUGCUCAAUCAGAUUGAGUUCUGAGGAAUUUGGAGGCCAAGUCAACACCUUGAAGUCUUUGACAUGUUCCUCAAACCAUUCCUGAACAAUUUUUGCAGUGUGUCAGGGAGCAUCAAUAUUUGCAGCAAUAUUUAGGUAGGUGGUACGUGUCAAAGUAACAUCCACAUGAAUGCCAGGAUCCAAGGUUUCCCAGCAGAACAUUGCCCAGAGCAUUGGGGUGGUUUUAAUAUUAUGGCUGAUUGGUGUAUAGUGCACUACAUAGGGUGUAGACGCCAUUAAUGGUGACCUUUUGGGGUUCAUUAGAUGGAGCGUAGAGAUAUCAAACAUACACCACAUUAGAUUUAGUGCACUACCGAGGGGAUUAUUAGCGGUACUUUCACUAUGCGUGUUUCCCCAAGUCAUUAUUUAUAGUGUUCUACGGUUACAGAAACUAUUCCGUAAUACUAUUUCAGAUUAAACACUAUGCUAUUCAGACUGAUGUCCUGACAUCAUCACAGCUCUUUUCACAUGCUGUGUAAACACCUUCACAACCACCCAAACUGUAAAGUGACGGUCUCAAAUACAAACGUUCCCCCGACACCCCGAGUGGAGUCCAUCAGUCGGGACAUGUCCGAGGUGUGAAGAUCGUAUCUUCCAUUACUUCAGAUACAAAACAUGCCUUGGCUGAUGGACUACAUUUAGGGUAAAAGGUACACUGUGGACAUUUGAUUUCUCACCACAGCACUGCUGAAUUCUGGAUCCUGAUUGGUCAGAAGCUCUGACAGUAGUGCAUUUCUCUAGCAACAGCUCAUUCACAGCGACUCGUACACUCCAUAAACAGAUUCAAAAAUGGCUAAUUCUUGCUAUUUUUGAAGGAGAUGUUUAUUUAACAUUUAUGGAAGGAGUCUCCAGUGUCAGUGCUUUGUAACAGUCAGAGGUAAAGCGGUAACAUCUUUUUUUUUUUUUUUUGUCUUAUUAAUUUCAAGAUAGAGAGAAAAAAAAAAGAGAGGCUGGUGAGGGAACGACUCUUUAUAGCUUUACAGAAACUUAUUUUGUGUAAGGUCCACAGUGUAACUAUAAAUGGAUUAAAAAGUACAAUGUGUCAUUUUUUAAUCAUUUUUAAAAAAUCAUUGGCAAAUUGCAGUGAUCUAAGAGGUGUAAAGACUUGAACAUCAAUAUGCCAGCUUUCAUACUUUAUACAUUCACAGUCACAUGAGAAGGUAAAAAAAAAAACAGUAUGGAAAUGUUUAAAAUGCAAAUGUCAGACAA